Molecule: long non-coding RNA, 514 nt
Organism: Nyctereutes procyonoides (raccoon dog)
Lineage: Eukaryota; Metazoa; Chordata; Mammalia; Carnivora; Canidae
Exons: 4
Source: RefSeq, a predicted model, not a curated record
CUAUGUUGUCCGCCUGCCCCACCCCACUGACAAGAGUCCCAGUCACCAGGCCACCCUCUCUGUCUGGGGCCCUAGCUUGUCUCUUUCGAACCCAGAAUUCCAAGUUGCUGGAGCACUGGGGGACAUCCAGACAGAGCCCUCACUGGACCAGGUCCUCCAGGAGCGGGAUGAAGCCAUUGCCAAGAAGCAGGCAAUGGAGGCUGAGCUGGACUCAUGCAGAGCCAAGUUGCAAGCUGUGGAGGCCCAGCUACUGGAGGUCCUGGAGGAGAAACUGAGGCUGAGGCAGGAGGUGGAAGCCUGGGAGGAGGACAUGCAUCAAAUGGUGAGGCAGCGGGUCGAGAGUCAGCUGCAGAGAGAGUCCCAGGGCACUCUGGGUGCCCCCGUGAACCCCCAAACUGCCAGGGCCCUGCAGGUCCGAUUCCCCCUGGGUCGGUGGGGACGCUGGCGGUAACAGAGCCCAGCCCAGGAGCUUGGGAGCAAUGUCUUUAUUCAUUAAAAGCUUGAGAUCUAAACA